RNAcentral lists this transfer RNA (64 nucleotides) under Mesorhizobium sp. Its description in RNAcentral is "tRNA-Leu". The record is from RNAcentral. Lineage: Bacteria; Pseudomonadati; Pseudomonadota; Alphaproteobacteria; Hyphomicrobiales; Phyllobacteriaceae.
CGGCGAUUCAAGCGUGCCCUUCACACGGGUGGGGUCGCAGGUUCAAUCCCUGCAUCGCCCACCA